UCCCUGGUGGUCUAGUGUUUAGAACUCGGCACUUUCACUGCUGAUGCCUGGAUUUAAUCCCUGGUCUGGGAA
Molecule: transfer RNA, 72 nt
Filed under: Sus scrofa (pig)
Lineage: Eukaryota; Metazoa; Chordata; Mammalia; Artiodactyla; Suidae
Rfam family: tRNA
About the family: Transfer RNA (tRNA) molecules are approximately 80 nucleotides in length. Their secondary structure includes four short double-helical elements and three loops (D, anti-codon, and T loops).
Source: Rfam by way of RNAcentral